UGGGGAAUUUUGGACAAUGGGGGAAACCCUGAUCCAGCCAUCCCGCGUGUGCGAUGAAGGCCUUCGGGUUGUAACGCACUUUUGGCAGGAAAGAAACGUCAUGGGUCAAUACCCCGUGAAACUGACGGUACCUGCAGAAUAAGCACUGGCUAACUACGUGCCAGCAGCCGCGGUAAUACGUAGGGUGCAAGCUUUAAUCGGAAUUAAUUGUCGGAAAGCGUGCGCAGGCGGUUCGGAAAGAAAGAUGUGAAAUCCCAGAGCUCAACUUUGGAACUGCAUUUUUAACUACCGGGCUAGAGUGUGUCAGAGGGAGGUGGAAUUCCGCGUGUAGCAGUGAAAUGCGUAGAUAUGCGGAGGAACACCGAUGGCGAAGGCAGCCUCCUGAGAUAACACUGACGCUCAUGCACGAAAGCGUGGGGAGCAAACAGG
Molecule: ribosomal RNA, 429 nt
Filed under: Acidobacteriota bacterium
Lineage: Bacteria; Pseudomonadati; Acidobacteriota
Description: Acidobacteria bacterium partial 16S ribosomal RNA
Rfam family: Bacterial small subunit ribosomal RNA
Source: RNAcentral